CCUACGGGAGGCAGCAGUAGGGAAUCUUCCGCAAUGGACGAAAGUCUGACGGAGCAACGCCGCGUGAGCGAUGAAGGCCUUCGGGUCGUAAAGCUCUGUUGUCAGGGAAGAACAAGUAUCGGAGUAACUGCCGGUACCUUGACGGUACCUGACCAGAAAGCCACGGCUAACUACGUGCCAGCAGCCGCGGUAAUACGUAGGUGGCAAGCGUUGUCCGGAAUUAUUGGGCGUAAAGCGCGCGCAGGCGGCCCUUUAAGUCUGAUGUGAAAGCCCACGGCUCAACCGUGGAGGGUCAUUGGAAACUGGGGGACUUGAGUGCAGAAGAGGAAAGCGGAAUUCCACGUGUAGCGGUGAAAUGCGUAGAGAUGUGGAGGAACACCAGUGGCGAAGGCGGCUCUCUGGUCUGUAACUGACGCUGAGGCGCGAAAGCGUGGGGAGCGAACAGGAUUAGAUACCCUGGUAGUCCACGCCGUAAACGAUGAGUGCUAAGUGUUAGAGGGUUUCCGCCCUUUAGUGCUGCAGCUAACGCAUUAAGCACUCCGCCUGGGGAGUACGGCCGCAAGGCUGAAACUCAAAGGAAUUGACGG
This 587-nucleotide ribosomal RNA is filed under the name uncultured bacterium. RNAcentral describes it as "bacterial SSU rRNA". It matches the Rfam family "Bacterial small subunit ribosomal RNA", at positions 338 to 916 of the family's 1533-position model. The record is from RNAcentral.